RNAcentral lists this ribosomal RNA (518 nucleotides) under uncultured bacterium. RNAcentral describes it as "bacterial SSU rRNA". It matches the Rfam family "Bacterial small subunit ribosomal RNA", at positions 1 to 536 of the family's 1533-position model. The record is from RNAcentral.
CUAGAGUUUGAUCCUGGCUCAGGACGAACGCUGGCGGCGUGCAUAACACAUGCAAGUCACGGGGGCCAGCAAUGGCAACCGGCGAACGGGUGCGUAACACGUAAGCAACCUACCUCGAUGUGGGGCAUAGCCGGCCUAACGGCCGGGUAAUUCCGCAUGUGAUCCUUGGGGGGCAUAUCCUGGGGAUGAAACCAGUAAUGGGCAUUGAGAGGGGCUUGCGGCCUAUCAGCUUGUUGGCGAGGUAACGGCUCACCAAGGCGACGACGGGUAGCUGGUCUGAGAGGAUGGCCAGCCACAUUGGGACUGAGAAACGGCCCAGACUCCUACGGGAGGCAGCAGUGGGGAAUCUUGCGCAAUGGCCUAACGGCUGACGCAGCGACGCCGCGUGAGGGAUGAAGCUCCUCGGAGUGUAAACCUCUGUUGCCCGGGACGAAUAGCGGAUUUUUCCGACUUGACGGUACCGGGUGAGGAAGCACCGGCUAACUCCGUGCCAGCAGCCGCGGUAAUGCCCAAUCGCC